AUGAGCAUGAAGCUGCAGGCCCUUGGGUGGGGCUUCCGGGAAAGCUCUUUUAAAGGGGGUCAACUCACUAAAGGCCUCUCUCUCUUCUUUGCCCUCCUUCCUGUCUGGGACACAAAGGUGAUGGCGGGAGCUCUAGCAGCUAUCUUGGAUCAUGAGAUGAGACAACUUGGAGGAUGGAAGCCAUGGUUGAGGAAGAGAAAGAGCAAGCGAAGUCACUUACCUUCUCUGGACUUUUCUUUCCUCAUUCACCAGAUUGAAGAGUUGAACCCAAUGACCUGGAUGUUCUUGGUGAUGGAAGUUCACUCCUGCACACACCAGCUUGGCAUCUUCUUUACAAUAGAAGCCCAACCGGGGAGGCUGCACACGUUAGAAUCCAAUCUGUACUGACAGGUAAGUUUUGAGGCAGAUUGAGAAAGCUCUUAAAAUUGUCAUCAGAAAAUCUCAGUAGAGGGAGUACAGGGGAAGGAGGCAGCUGCAGCUGGGCCCCACAUCGAGCUCCACGCACCUCCACCCACCUGCCAAUUUUCCCCUCUCAGAGUAAAGAGCCUCUCCCCGCCAGGUAUUUGGCUGCUUGGAAUUUACUGAUUAAUUACGCGCCUACCUCCAAUUGGUCUCCUUAGUAACCACGUUAGCAGGGUCCCACUUGAAAAGCUGCUUCUUACUCAAUGAGGGCAAACUCUCUUCACAGUUUAAAACACUUUUAAGUCAGAGCACAGUGGAUGUUAAAGAUAGAAGGACACACACAUUUCUUCACAACUUCGCAUCAAAAUACAGAAAGACUUUUGAACUAUUGAGGGCAAGCGACAUUUUAGUAAUCAGUAAGAGCUAGGUUUAAAGGAAGAGUUGGGUGAAUACAGUUUCAUUCGAAUGGCCAAUGAUUGCCUUUGCAAGUAUAGGUUUUACUACCAGAGUGUCCAGCCUAGUGCUGGGUGAGGGGAUGUCAGAAUGAAAGCUAUCCUGGCUGGGUGUGGUGGCUCAUACGUGUAAUCCCAGCACUUUGGGAGGCCGAGUUGGGUGGAUCUCCAGAGGUCAGGAGUUCCAGACCAGCCUGAUCAACAUAGUGAAACCUGUCUCUAAAAAUAUAAAAAAAUUAGCUGGGUGUGGUGGCGGAUGCCUGUAAUCCCAGUUACUCAGGAGGAUGAGGCAGGAGAAUCAUUUGAACCUGGGAGGCAGAGGUUGCAGUGAGCUGAGAUCGUGCCAUUGCACUUCAGCCGGGGCAACAAGAGUGAGACUCCAUCUAAAAAAAAAAAAGAUCCUUACCCUCAAGAAGUUGGCCCAGGGGACAAGUUAGAUCAAUGCAUGGUGACCAACACAUCAUUUGCUAUAGUGACUCAGACCAUUCGAGAAUGAGGGAGUGCAUGAUGAGGUGCUGAUUGUGGAUCAGACUGGAAGAGAAAGAGAAGUUCAAGUGAGGAGAAUGAAAUUCAAGAGGGCAGAAUGAUGUUCAAGUGAUGUUUACCUUAUGUUUUGAAUGAUGUGUUAAGAUGUCGAGGACAAAUGGCAAGUUCUGAGUGGGCAGGAAGGUGGUCGCUGGGCUUCAGCACAGGUGACUAGCAGGAUUAGGGGGUGUGUUAGUCUGCUGGGGCUGUCAGAAGCAAGUGCCACUGACUGGGUGGCUUCAGCAAUGGGAAUGCAUUUUCUCACAGUUCUCGAGGCUGGAAUCUGAGAUCAAGUGUCGGCAAGGUUGAUUUCUCCUGCAGCCUCGCUCCUGGCCUUGGAGGUGGCCGUAUUCUCCCUGUGUCCUCACGUGGCCAUCUCUGUGUGCAUCUGUCCCUUCAUCUCCUCUUAAGAGCACCAGGCCUAUGGGAUUAGGGCCACCCUAGUGACUUCAUUUACCCUAAAUCACCUCUUUAAAGCCCCUACCUCCAAAUACGGUCACGCUCUGAGGGGCUGGGGUUAAGACUUCAGUGGAGGAAUUUGGGGGAGGGGUGUACAGUUCACCCCAUAACAGGGGGAUAAUGAAACUGUGCUCAUCACAUAAUGGGGAUAGAAUUUCAGGAAGGAAACUAAAGUUCACUGCGGGACAUGGGUGAAUAAUGUGUAUGGGGCAUCCCUUUCACCCUCAGCCCCAAACCCAGGAGUUGGGAUCCCGGACACUAAGCUGACAAUGUGCCCCAGCGUUGCCAUGUCACAAUGUCCUGGGAACACCCCAUGCAGGUCCCAUGCCUACAUCUUAAGAGCCGCAUCAACGGCUAGAGAAGCUGUUUCCUGAACCUUGAAUGUUAAGAUCAAAGAAACUUAAAAAGAGCCAUGCUCAGAAUAAGAAGGCAUCCAGGCGUCCAGGUCUCCAGGUGUCCCAGCACCCAGGCACUUCAGAAGCCUGAUCACGGUCCCUGAAAAGCUUUGUAGGAUGGUGCAGUUGGUUUGAAUGCCAUGGAGGGGUCCGACACCCUUCUCUUUCAUUUUUCAGAGAUAGAUACAUGUUCCACGUUGGAGAGCCAACCCCACUUCAGCUUGUCCCUCUGUUAAAUUAGUCACGCGUUUCGUAGGUUGGCUCAUUUGCUCUCAUAACCCCACUCUUUGUGGGGGCCUCUUGGGGCUCCACCCCACACCUCCCUUUGGUCUUGGGUACCAUAAUUCCAGUGCCUUCGAGAUGUUCUCACUCAGAUCUCACCGUGAUGCUGACGAGGAUGUUGUGAUAUCCCGGUUAGCACAAACCCCCAUCUGCACAUUCUCCCAGCCUCUCUAUUUUGUAAGCUGAGCCAUCUUUCUUCUUGCUCUUUCUCUCAUCCUUUGUAUUCAGGUAUUCCCAAAUGUAAUCAAUUCCUCUCUAUCACACUUUGUUCGAGUUCCUAGCGUGCGCAUGCUCUCUCCCUGCUCUCUUUCUCUGUCUUCAAUCUAUCCUAUACACAGCAGCCUCCUAAUAAUUUUUAAAUGGUAUUUUCCUUUUGCUUCAAUACCUUGCUCCAGAAUUCUAGUUUAAAGGCAAAGAAUGAUAGAAGCAGAAAGUAGUGAACCUGAACUCCAAAGACCAGUGGUUGAGUCCUGGCUUAGUCCCCACCUUGUCAUGUGACUUUAGCCGAACCACUCCUGCUACCAGGGCGGGAGGAUCACUUGAGGCCAGAAGUUUGAAAUCAGCCUGGACAACAUAGUGAGACCCCAUCUCUAUGAAAACAGAAAAAUAAUAGGCAUAAUAAUAGCUAACAGUGGUGGUGUGAGAAUUCAUUCAGUUAAUGUAAAUGAAGGAGCUUUGAAAACUAUAAAAUAGACAGAUACAAAAUAUAAUGAUUAUUCCUCAAGGCCAUCUCAAGUACAACCAACCCUUAUGCCUAAUUAAAAGUUAGUCUUUUCCUUUUUUAAGCUUACAGCAUUUUUCUGGUGAUAUGUCUGGACAGUGGUUAUUUCCAGGUCUGCAGUCUGCACUGCAGAAUGCACCUCGUGCUGUUCUCUGCUGGUACUCCACCCUGCCUGUCCAGAAAAACGGAGCUGCUGGAGGGAAGAAACUUACAUUCUUUCUUGUUUCUAUGCAACUGAGCACAGUGCCAGGCACACUAAAGUCUAUCAAUUUCACAUGCAUGCAUUGGGCACCUGAUUCUUGUUGAUAUACAGAAGGCAUGUAUUAGUGGGGAGGGGAUUCAAUAUCGUAUGAUAAAAAUUCCUGCAUUCACAGAGCUCACAGUUGGGCUUGGAAGAUGUGCUGCAAGGACUGAAAAAGGUACAGAUGGCAUUUCUACUGUUAGCAAAAGAUACCUGGGUGUUUAGGGGAAAUGCAUCUCCUCCAGCUGGAAUGCUGAAAAAGGUUUGGCCAACGGGGAUGGUUUGAGCAGGAUCUUGAAGGACUAGCGACAUUGGAUAGGCAGAGAUGGGGAAAGGUGUGAAAGUCAGCAGGCCAGGUGAACUGGCCUGGAGGAGGCUUUGCAGAAGGGAGCCGCAGCAGCAGUGGCUGGAAAUGCAGGCGGGAUGAGACCGCAGAAGGCCUUGAACAGCGGCCUUAAUGGCUUACACUUCACCCAAUGGGGAUUAGUAGGGCAAUGGGAAGACAUUGAAUGCUUCUGUGCAGGGGAGUGAUGCUAGGCAGUGUUUUCGGAGCGGUCAGCUAGGGUGGAUACUAAAUACUUAUGGACUGGGACGAGCAGGAGCGCUUCUGUAGGUGUUCAUCUGUCUUUAUGUGGCUGGUUCUAUAUGGAUGACUGCAGCCUCAAAAGCCAGCUAGAAAUAGACAUACAAAUGGUCCAGCAACUGCACUGAAAGCUUUCUAUUUUUUCAGCAAAUAGUGUCACAUGAAAAUCUCCUAAUUCCUGGAUGUUUCCUGUUUCUAGAUCAGGAGAUCUCAUAUCUCAAACCUCUCCUCACUGCCACCAUUAGAGGCGUGACAGCCUGCCACGUUCUGAACCCGAGCUUAAACCUGAGCGUCCCUUCUUCCUGCCUCUGCCCUGCUCCUCAUCACAGUGUUGUGUAAGGCUGGUGGAAUGCCAUUUGGCAAACUUGUGUUGUUGUUGAUGCAAGAUGACUAGCUUCCCAAAGCUCUUUUGUGGUUCUGGAAGAGGAAGAUAGGAGAUAGAUUUUUUUUUUUUUUUGGUGAAAGAAAAUAGUUUUAGUCCUUUGCAAAGUAAAAUAAUGGAUGUCUAAGAUUUCUAAGUUCAGGUUUUCCAUAUCAAUUAAAUGACAUUGCCAGAGCACCUUGUUGUAACUUUCUCCCUCCCCCAGGGAUUCCCCCUCCCUAUGGCUUUCCCCUACCCUGCCUAGGCCUCUGGUGGCUACAUAGAGACACACACACACACACACACACACACACACACACACACACACACACACGCACACACACGCGCACACACACGCACACAGCUAGUAGUUUCGGCUUCUCCCUCCCUUAUCGCUUCCUCCUCCCCCAUAGCUUCUCCCUUUCCCAUGGCUUCCCCCUCCACCCAUGGUUUCAAC
RNAcentral lists this long non-coding RNA (4878 nucleotides) under Callithrix jacchus (white-tufted-ear marmoset). RNAcentral describes it as "lncRNA (ENSCJAG00000071712.1)". The record is from RNAcentral. Lineage: Eukaryota; Metazoa; Chordata; Mammalia; Primates; Cebidae.